Molecule: long non-coding RNA, 1218 nt
Filed under: Homo sapiens (human)
Lineage: Eukaryota; Metazoa; Chordata; Mammalia; Primates; Hominidae
Description: non-protein coding lnc-RC3H1-1:14
Source: RNAcentral
AGAGCUGUUAGAGCAGGGACGCGCGAAAGGCGGGAGUACGGGCGGCGCUGGAGAACCUCCGCGGCGGAGGGGCCUGGGGGUGGGACCGCGCCCGCGAGCCCGCCCUGACCGGGGUGCGUUCUACUGGCAGUUGCUGAGUUCGGAAGAUUAACUCUGAAUGUGGAGAGAUUAUUUUCUUGCUCGUAAACCUGGUUUACAUAUUUUCAUUCUUAAUGCUCAGUAAUCUUAAGGAAAGUCACCUGAAAGAAUACUUUUUCACCAAGUACUCUUCUGCGCCUGUUUGAAGGUGUCUGUGUGCUUGUGAAGCGCUCCCUUGUUAGUUCCUUCUGUGAGACUCGGGGGAGACUGAAGAGGGAAAUCACCUGCGGGGAAUGAACAGGAAAGCAAUAAGAAGAUUUGGAAAAGAGGCACUGGCUACUGGAGGAAGGGAGAAAUCACCGAGAGAGCGAAAGAUGUAACAGAAAAAAAAGGCCUUAUGAAGACAUUGCAAAAGGACAACUAUCUGCAAACCAGGAAGACAGACCUCACCAGAAAUCAACCCUGCUGGUGGUACCUUGAUCUUAGACUUCCAGCCUCCAGAAGUAUGAGAAAAUAAAUAUCUGUAAUUUAAGUCACCUAGUCUAUGGUAUUUUGUUAUGGCAACCCUAGCACACUAAUGCACACUUCAAUUGAAAGAAUUAGUGAUAUCUCAAAUUCAACAAGUGCAAAAUGAACCCAAGAUCUUCCCCACCAGAACUUGGUCCUCUAUUAGCAUGCUUGAUCUCUCUGAAUGACACCACUAUUUAACCUGUUAUGGUAGCCCAAAACCUAGACAUUACUCUUCACAUUUUCCUUUCUCUCUCUCACCUGUUCUCUCAUUUUUCAGUUUAUCUCUCAGUUCUGUCAAUUCAUUUCUUGACUAUUCCUUAAACCCAGACAUUUCUGUUUUCCUCCACUGCCAUCUCUCUACUUCAAGUACCAUUCUCUCUUACCUGGACUAGCCAUAGUGUCCUAAUUGAUCUCUUUUUAUUCAUUCUUGCUCCCCUAUAACUCAUUCUUCACAUGAUAGCCAGAGUGUUAUAGUAAAAACCAAAGCCAGGGCCAGGCAAGGUGGCUCACACCUGUAAUCCCAGCACUUUGGGAGGCCAAGGCAGGCAGAUCACCUGAGGUCAGGAGUUCAAGACCAGCCUGGCCAACAUGGCGAAACCCCAUCUCUACUAAAAAUACAAAAUUAGCUGG